Molecule: long non-coding RNA, 827 nt
Organism: Hirundo rustica (Barn swallow)
Lineage: Eukaryota; Metazoa; Chordata; Aves; Passeriformes; Hirundinidae
Exons: 6
Source: RefSeq, a predicted model, not a curated record
UUUAUUGGGUCUCCUGGGAUAGCUUAUGGAGUGAUGGUGUGAGUAUGUCAUGGGGUUGGGAUGCACUUAUAUGUGGAGCACUGUUUAAUGGAGGUGCUGAGGGGCAAACCUUUGUGCCAGGAAGAAGCAGCUGAACAGGUUUGGUUACAGCAGCACCGAAGCAGAUGCAGAGACCAUCUUGACAUCCACAGUGCUGAGGCAUUCUUUUCUGUCGAGGAUGGACUUGCAGCUGAUGAAGAGACACCAGCCUGGUGACAGCAGGACAUUCCCAGAGGGCAAGGUGCAGAUGGAUUGAGCCCGUGGCAGAGCACCCCUCCCUGAAGCGGAAGUGAAGCCGGAUAGCGGCAGUCAAGGUGAUGUGAGCAAGGUGGUCCCCUCCCAUUACGCCGAGUUCCCCUCACCAACCAGAUGAUGGAUCCGCUUUGCCCGUCUCGUGAGUCCUCUGGGGAGCAGCACAGGACUCUGUGAUGAAGCCUUGCUCUUCUCUGUUUGAAGGUGCCAUCCUGGUUGGCUUUGGUGUUAAUAGCCUGGGCAUGGAGGUGGGUAGGGAGGAGGAAGAGUGAGGGUCCACUCAAGAUUCCACCUUGUUGCAUCAAUACAGAGCUCUGCACAAACACAAAGCUGGGCACGGCUGUUUUGUAACUCACAAAUACGUUUUAUGGCAUUGAAAAGGCUUGAUAAUCUUGCAAAUCUCUUUUUCCUGAGAGCAGAGUCCCUCAGCCCACGGAGUGUGCCCUGAUCUCCACGCUGCCCUCCAGUCACACACCUGUACAGGGCCAACUGGUCAUUUCAUGGUCAAUUUUUAUUUCAUUUUAAUUUUACAUGGA